This 305-nucleotide ribosomal RNA is filed under the name uncultured bacterium. RNAcentral's name for it is "bacterial SSU rRNA". It matches the Rfam family "Bacterial small subunit ribosomal RNA", at positions 28 to 334 of the family's 1533-position model. The record is from RNAcentral.
GACGAACGCUGGCGGCGUGCCUAACACAUGCAAGUCGAACGGAGUGAUGAUUUCGGUUAUCACUUAGUGGCGAACGGGUGAGUAACGCGUGAGAAACCUGCCUUUCAGUGGGGGACAACAGUUGGAAAUGACUGCUAAUACCGCAUAAGACCACAGUACCGCAUGGUGCAGGGGUAAAAACUCCGGUGGUAUGAGAUGGACCCGCGUCUGAUUAGGUAGUUGGUGGGGUAACGGCCUACCAAGCCGACGAUCAGUAGCCGACCUGAGAGGGUGACCGGCCACAUUGGGACUGAGACACGGCCCAA